RNAcentral lists this ribosomal RNA (341 nucleotides) under Colostethus pratti (Pratt's rocket frog). RNAcentral's name for it is "partial 12S ribosomal RNA". It matches the Rfam family "Bacterial small subunit ribosomal RNA", at positions 869 to 1384 of the family's 1533-position model. Lineage: Eukaryota; Metazoa; Chordata; Amphibia; Anura; Dendrobatidae. The record is from RNAcentral.
UCGCCUGGGAACUACGAGCUAAGCUUAAAACCCAAAGGACUUGACGGUACCCCAUAUCCCCCUAGAGGAGCCUGUCCUAUAAUCGAUAACCCCCGCUUUACCUCACCAUUUUUUGCUAAUCAGCCUGUAUACCUCCGUCGUCAGCUUACCACGUGAGCGUCAGUGAGCCCAAUGUUUGUUCAACCACACGUCAGGUCAAGGUGCAACAUAUAAAGUGGAAAGAGAUGGGCUACACUCUCUAACUUAGAACAAACGAAUAACUUAAUGAAACCUAACUAGAAGGCGGAUUUAGCAGUAAAAUGAAACUAGAGCGUUCAUUUAAAUUAGGCACUGGGGUGUGU